AUAGUUACAUACAAAACAUAUACUACCAUAUCCCAUUUGUCAUACACAUAUUAUGUCUUGAAGUCUAUACUGCAGUAGCCAGCUGCUCUUCUCUCUCCUCUUUUAUCUUCUUAAAAUAUGUUUAUAGCUGACUUAUAGCUUACUAUUAUACCUACACUUAUGCAGAGCUUAAUUGUUCACAACAAGAUACUAGCUACCAAGGUCUUAAUUAGUCAAAAGUUCACAAGUCUACAUGUGGGAAAUUAAGAGAAAAGGUUGCAUGUGUGUUCCCAUGUGCUGAAAAAGCGAUAU
This 291-nucleotide long non-coding RNA is filed under the name Oryza brachyantha (malo sina). Its description in RNAcentral is "long non-coding RNA (OBRA_LNC003022)". The record is from RNAcentral. Lineage: Eukaryota; Viridiplantae; Streptophyta; Magnoliopsida; Poales; Poaceae.